UACAAGCAGGAAGUAGCAAGACAAUAGUCAUUCAAACAAAGCAAACCCACAAGCACUUGAGCAGAGAGACAAACAAUAGGACCGCCUGGCACUCCAGUCAACAAUCAGGCCAUUCAUUCUCAGCUCAGAGCUAUGCUAUGACUCAAUCCUUCAUUAUUGACAAUAGGCGCUCAAGAAAAUAAAUACAGAAUGCUGUUGACUCUCACCAAAGGGGCUUGAAUGCGGUAUAUAAGAGUUAUCACUCUUUGGACCAAAGCCAGUUUAUUGGACGGGAGACAAUGCAGGGAUGACAGGGAUUUUUCUUGCUUGAGGACAGUCUCAUUCACACACCAACUUGAGACUGUAUCGGAAGUUAACUUUAUCCGAAAAAGAAACUGAUCAAAGUAGUCAGAAAAAUCAUUUCCGUCAAGACUCCAUCCUCAUUACUGACAUCUCCCUUCAUUAAAUGGUGAUUUUUCAAAACAGACUCUUCAAGAUAGAACAGAAAGAUAGAAAAAUACUUGAAAGAUAAGGCCCCCUGAAGCAAAACUUUAAACCAGCCAACACAGAGGACCUCAGCCCUGUUGCGUAACAAUCCCCAUAUAUCAAUCCAUCCAGUGAGUACCUCAGAACUCCUUUGCCCUUCUAACCUCAUUGAUUUCUACUAAUAUUUACCUCUGGGCAGCUUUAGUUCGGUUGGCACAAACUUGUAGUGACUGAGGUAAGCUGAAGACUCAAAUUCAAAGAAAACAUCCUAAUGUAAAUACCCAUAAGCAAGAAGGGUAGAUACAGGCCAACCUUUUGUACAUAAUUCAUUAUGUUAAAUCUUGUGGCUGAUUAAGCCUGAAAGGAAUUCUGAGUAUGUCUUCCUCAGUUCCAAACAUUUAUGUACAAAUGUACUGUACAAUCAUUGCCAUUACUUACAGUUCUGAUCCUGUCAUCCGGCUACAAACUAAUCAACAUGGAUUAAAUAUAAUUAGUUCCGUUGCUAGGGAAAUCUACAGUUUUAAUGCCAAUUUUACAGGUUUCAAACCUUAAUGUAUAAUCUACAUCUACACACGAUGUACAUGUGUAUAAUCCCAGACAAAACAUUUGUUGCAGGCUUGCAAAUUCCAAAGAGAGCACUAACAAGCCCCCCCUAAUUCAAUGUCUCAGCAACAUUUUUCAAAUCUUUGUGGAAGCAUGGAGGUAGGAAUUGUGAAAGUCAUUUUCAGCUGUGGCAUGAACUUUGACACUUGAAUUUCAGUAAGGACUUUGUAAGAUCAUCUGUAUUCUCUGAUUACAUGAUGUACCAAAAUGCAGGAUACUUCAAACGUGAGGAUUUCUUUUUAGAAACACUUUUCAUUUGUUUUUCAUGAACACUACACAGCAUGCACAUGGCAAAUGUUUACACUCAUAAAAACCUGGCCAAGGACUCUGCUUUGCCAUUCCCGAGGGUGUUCGCUGGUCACAACAAAGCUGUAAAUAGUUCUCAGCUUAUUGAAGUCUAUUGAUUGGUCUGGCUUGAUCUGACUGGCUGAGUGUGGUUGGAAUGCUGUUAGCAAGUAAUUGAAGAGAAUUAAUAAUUCAGUGGAGAGGAAAUCCUGUGCUGCACAGAGGUAAAGCAGAGCAAGAUUAGCCCUGGAUUAUAGCAAUGCCACCUCACACUAAGCCAAAGAUACAAGAGGGGUAUACAUGUAUGUGAAGAAAUCAGAAUACUGAGAGCUAUAAGGGAAUCUGUAGGUUAACAACAGAACGCUGAAUGUAUGGGGAAAAGAAGGGAACCGUCUAACAAAAAGGUUACUACAUGGACACAUGAACGUGAGCUUCAUUGACAUAACACUGUAGACAGAUACUUCCACAGACAGAAUGAGUACCACUGCUGUGGUGAAUACAUUAUAUGCACAUAUGUUCCAAACAAAGCAUCCCCCCUAGGCUUAAGCUCCUGUAAAUGACAUUAACAAUAUGCUUGUAGCAUCUGUGGAUAACUAAAUUUAGCAGAAAUGCAUACCUUUCUACUGAGCACAGAUAUUCACACUCCUACAUUGUAAGUUUCUUUCCAUAGCCGCAUUCCUCUUCUCUAAAAUUGACACUGAUUUGGCUUUUCUGCAGAUGUGUUCACAUUGGGCAAUAUUUCACUUCUUCAAUCUUGUGUCAAUGAAGUUACCCUUUAACUUUUACAAGUAAGAGCAUGGCUUUCCUCACUCUUCAGGCAUUUUAGACAGGGGGAAAGGUGUGGUUAGAAAAGCAACCAUGCCAACCACAGGUAGACCCCCAAAAAUGACCCAAGGUGUAAUGAGAUUGAAGUGUCAUGGGUCACUCUGGGUCAGCAUCAAGUUGUGGGCACCCAACAAAACCACGCUGUUAAUGUUCUGGGUUGGUUCUGAGAUCAAGUUUUGAGACCAAAUAAUCUCUGAUGAGAGCAUGGCAGGUGAACGGGUUUGAAUGGGCAGGUGUAUUUCAAGGUCCCAAUUUAUAAUGUUAUUGCUGGCCUUAUCCAGGUCAGUGACAGCUGUCAUUCAGGUAUUACAGGUUGUGGAACAUUUCAAGCUCCAUGCCCAUCUCAAGGUGAUAGAUGUACAUGUAUCAUGUGUCCUAAUCUCUUCCCAAAGCAAUGAGAGUGGUGAACCAUAGUAGAUGUACUGGUACUGUAAGAAGUGACAAAUCAAAGACAAUAUUAUGUAUGUUGGUAAUAUCAUAAAGGCUUACGAUAAACAAAAAUGAGUUCAUGCAGACAGUGUCGACGUUUUCUUCAAGCACACAUUAACCCAAAUUGAUGGGGGUCGAUAAACACAAGUGUAGAAUACUUGAAGACCAGGCAUGAAUCCUAAACUUCAUGACCACCCUGAAGGAAUGUAUCUUUCCAUGAACUCCUGUCUUGUGCAAAUGUUUGGAUGCAAUGCAAUGGUGAUUCACUUCUGUUCCUUCCAGCAUCUACUCGCUAAUGUUUACACAACGUGUGGGCAAACUGUUGACUUCAUAUUUACAGGGUGGGGAACUUUUCAUACUGGGAGAAAGAGGGUUAUUGUCCUAUUGGCUGGUGUACUGAUUUCUUUUAAAGAACCACAGGAAACAUGUACACAUACUAAAGGAAAGACUUUUUAGUGGACACUUCAGACUUGUUUUUCCCAGCCAAAAAGUAGUUUAACCAUACUUUGGUCUGGGAAGAGUUGACCGAACAAAUUGUCCAUACAUGUACUUACAUUUAUUUGUUUAGAUAGAAAUCUUGAAAAAAAACCAUUUUUUACAGAAUAUCUUGAACAAACUCAUGUAAUGACUUUGUGAUAACACAUGUAGAAAAAGACAGGAAAGCAACAGGGAAAAAUCUGGGUGUAACAUCUCCAGAGUGGUCAGCGAUUACCCCCUCAAUCAGAAUUUAAAAAGCUGAAUCCUAUCUCUCAGUAUGAUACACUCUGCUUGCUGUAACUCAGCAGACAGCAGGAACCUCAACAUGCUGCAUGAUUUCAAAGACUGACCACCUCAAGAGAUCUACUUGUUGAUGUUCGUUGUUAUUCUUCAAUUCUAUCACCAUUCUGUUCUGACAAUAGGACAAAAAAGACAAGCAGUAAGCAGGCUUUCAUGUAACCCAGUCUCCAAUGCUCUUUUUGCACUUUGAACACAGUCCUUAUGUACAUGUAAACUACAGCUCCUACAUUUUGGGGUAAUUCACUUGCACUCAGUGCUGGUACAAAUGUUCCUCUGCGGAAUCCUCACUGUUCUCUUGGUAGAGACACUUUUGAUGCUGACAGAAAUGUCACUUUUAGGCAAACAUAUUUAUGCAUGAGGGUACAUACAUGUACAUGUAUACACACGUACAUUUACAUAUCCAUCAAAGCAGGAUGUCUUUCAACAAGUUAUUAAUGUCCACAUUUUUUUUGAUUGUGGAACCCGAAGAAGAAUUUCUCUGUAAAGCCCUACAGGUAUUUUUACCAAGUUCUAACUUUCACAUAGAACUUGAUAUUUAAUAGUUUAAAUUAAAAAAAUUCUAGCCAGCUUCACAGCUCUCCUGAAACACACACAAUCACACACAAUUUACUUGUCAGAUCUCAACUUGUCAGAUGCUGUAAGGAGCCACUGCAUCUUGACUAUCCAAACAUCUUUAUUAGAACAAAUCUUCUUUAGUAUACAAGUGAAAAGAAGGGGGGUCAGCACAGUUGCCAGGGCAACAGGGAUGGAAGUGGUCCCUUUAUGCUUUGAGAUCAGGGUGCCACCUCAGUGCCACUUGACAAGUUGAAUAUCGACAUGCUCCCAUUGUUUGCCACUUAUCAGAGACAGAUGUCUCCGAUUACUUAUGUUUGUCCCAACAAUGUCAGCAUACCAUUAAAUUUGGAACAACACAAUGAAAGGAUAUUUCAAAAAGUCACUGAUAAUGACAGGAAAUACAAUACAGAUAGGUUUAGAGUCAAUAUCAUGUCUAAUUAUCUGCAGUAUGUUCGAGGAAGAUACAUCUUGGAACAAAUUUGGAUUUGUUUGAGGCAAUUUUAAAAACUGGGUGGCAGAAGGGGGCGGGACAAACAUAUUUUCUUUGAGGGAAGGGACAUCUCUAUAGCUUCACACUGCACAAGCUGUGAAAUGAUAAAAAAAAACACCUUCACUAAAGAUUAAGUUUCAAACAAAAUAAACACAUCUGAAAAAGCUGAAUCCAUACAUCUGCGAAAACACUAACAAACAAAGGCCAACUGAAAUUGUAUAGGCCUAUGUGUGCAACAGUUGCCAGAAAUUUCCUCAAAACAAAGAGGCUAACCACAGCAAACUCUGACCUAACCUUCCCUACAUCACCCCUAUCAAACAAGCUUCAGCUCCCACACAAAUCCACAUCCAUCUUCACCUCAAUAUUUUAUGGAUCUUGUUCACCUCUAUGAGUGGCCAUGAACUUGGCCCGGCUAUUUGGCAAGUCAGUGGUACCCAAUCAAAAUAAACAGGAAAAGUAUGUAGGAAUGUCGUAUUCCUUAAGAUUCUGCUGUAAACAAGAAAGGCCUGAUCUUACUUUAUGACACCUUAAGACAUAUGGUACAUGUACAUUUCACAUCUUUGAAAAGAAUUUACACUGGAAAGGUUGGAUAACAUGGUGUAAUUAUGAAAAAUUAAUAAACAUCAACUACUUGUUGCCACAAAUUAUGUUCAUAUCAAAUGAGGACUGCCAUGCAUUUGAAUUUUAGCAGAAUCUUUCUCAAUUGCAUCAUUGAGGUUUCAUUGUCACAAAUGACAUACUUUUAUUGAGCUUUCAGACACUAUCUGCAUCUGUGAAUUUGCUUUUAUUUACACCGACCUAAAUCUUGUAGUUUUCUUCCCCUGAAUGGCAAUGGUGCUCCCAAAUUAAGCCAGUGAAAAAUAUCCAACCAAACUACAUUGUGUUAUUUUUAUGAUAAUCUCCUCCUUACACAGACAGUUUUUGUGUAUCAUUUUAGCAUAGGCAAGAAAACCCUGUGUGUGUUUCCACUGUAUCCUGUCCCCCCCGUCUUUCUGUAAAAGACACACUGUACCUCUAUACAUCCCAACCAAGCAUGUGUACAUGUACUCUGGGUAGGAUUUACAUGUAAUUCGCUAUGGUAACUUGGUUAUUUUCAGAAACAAAUUUAAGUCCUUUUGGAUGAUAGCAAAAUAAAGUUCAGCAAUAGAAAAUUCCACAGAUUAACAAUUUGCAUUUUUAUGUCUAUACAACUUCUGAAAUGACAGUAAAUGAAACAGACAACCACACAAUAUAACAACUGAACCUACACUGAGGAAUUUUAAUGAGUGUCGAACAAGUUUUCUUUUAUUCAUCCACGAGAACCAUUUGGCACUUUUUACCACCAUUCUGUUGCCGAUAAAAAGGUCAUGCAUCAUGAGCAAUGCAUGGUUAUUGCCCAUCCAGGUGUGCCCCACUUCAUAACAACUUUUAAACAGGUACAUUGCACUUUUGUAGUGUGAUACUUUUUUCUUGUUUGGUGUGAAAAAUUCUUAAAAGGUUAGCGAGUUGAAAUGGCAGAUUUCGGGAUUAGAAGGGUCAACCACCAUUAAGUGUCAAUGAUUGAGGGUUUUUAUUGGAAAGAUUAGUUUCAUGCCUACAUGUACAUUGGCGGUGUCUUGAAAACAACAUCAAAAACACCUUUGGUGUUGAUGGUAAUGACACUGCUUUAAACAUGCAGACUGAAUUUACAUGCAGAUGUGUUCAUUCUUUUCAAGGAAAGCUAUGCAAACACUGUGUUUUAUAUUUUGUGGUCAGAGUCUUAUCCCCAUCUCCCAUCCACCUGAGCAUGGCAAGCACUGUGGAAUAUCUCCCUUAAAACUAGAAAUAAAUAUGUGUCUGCCUCUUGCCAUCAAUUUUCCUGCAUUUACGGGGUAACUUUGACAAUUUUGCUCCAAUGACUACUUCACAAAGGUGUCAGCUGGACCCAAUCUGUUAAGCUCAUGGAUUAGAUGCUGUGAAGAAUUCAGCACUACAACAUUGUCCCAUCUCUGUAGGAAGCAGUGGUGCACAGGGCUUAACAUCUUGGGGUAAAUCAAAGCAACCUCCAGGCACCUUGCUAUAUAAUAAAGAUUCCUUGCUAGUGCUCACCCAAAAGUAACUAAAGGAUUGUAACACCUCCCUACAAAUUAAGAUGGUUUGCCGAGGUUAUUCUUCAAUUUAGCUUCUUUGGAAGCCCCAUCAGUUCCACUGCUCUAAAACUAUACUCUAAAUUCGCUGGCACGAAACCUUGGGUAACUCAAUGGCUGAACAGGAUCAGCUGAACUCGUAGAAAUUAUAAGUAAACUUUUGCCGUCUGGUUUUAGCACUCCUUUUCUUCGUUAGUUUGAAUGGAAAAUUUUAAGCCUGCCCAGUGGGUACAGUUUUUCAGGUUCUUUUGUUACUCAAUAUUGUACACUGCAGGUCUCGAG
Acanthaster planci (crown-of-thorns starfish) is the source of this 6816-nucleotide long non-coding RNA. The record is from RefSeq and is a predicted model, not a curated record. NCBI's taxonomy places the organism in Eukaryota, Metazoa, Echinodermata, Asteroidea, Valvatida, Acanthasteridae.